AUGAGGGCCACACCGGCGUUCCCGCUCAGCCCUGCUUCCUCCUCUUUCCACCCAGUUCCUCUCCUCUCUCCGCCCUCUGGUCAACAGCGACCACCCAAGCUCGCCCCGAUCCAUGACCCUCUCCUUCCGCCCAGCUUGGGCCCGUUGUCGGUCGUCCGUGGGCCGAGCGCCGCGCCUGCUCCUCAAGCUCCUCUUUCUGUGCCGCCCCGCCUGCACUGCCCACCCGCGCCUCCGGAGAAGUCAUGGUUGCCUUCUGCCAAGCUGCUGGAUCGAUGGCCGGCCGCCGCCACGACCAACCUCAACCUUCUGGACGCGAUGGGCAGCGGCCAUGGGGGCAGCACCUUCGACCUCUCGCUCGCCGCCAGACAGGACCUUCGCCAACAUCUCAUUCAUCCUGAUAUUCGUUGCCUUUGGCACGGCCACCACUGCUUGCCUUCCUUGGAUCAAAGAAUUAUGAGCUCCCCCAUACACGAUUGA
RNAcentral lists this ribosomal RNA (477 nucleotides) under Triticum aestivum (bread wheat). RNAcentral's name for it is "partial small subunit ribosomal RNA". Lineage: Eukaryota; Viridiplantae; Streptophyta; Magnoliopsida; Poales; Poaceae. The record is from RNAcentral.